CCUACGGGAGGCAGCAGUCGAGAAUCAUUCACAAUGGGGGAAACCCUGAUGGUGCGACGCCGCGUGGGGGAAUGAAGGUCUUCGGAUUGUAAACCCCUGUCAUGUGGGAGCAAAUUAAAAAGAUAGUACCACAAGAGGAAGAGACGGCUAACUCUGUGCCAGCAGCCGCGGUAAUACAGAGGUCUCAAGCGUUGUUCGGAAUCACGGGGCGUAAGGCGUGCGUAGGCUGUUUCGUAAGUCGUGUGUGAAAGGCGCGGGCUCAACCCGCGGACGGCACAUGAUACUGCGAGACUAGAGUAAUGGAGGGGGAACCGGAAUUCUCGGUGUAGCAGUGAAAUGCGUAGAUAUCGAGAGGAACACUCGUGGCGAAGGCGGGUUCCUGGACAUUAACUGACGCUGAGGCACGAAGGCCAGGGGAGCGAAAGGGAUUAGAUACCCUUGUAGUC
This 446-nucleotide ribosomal RNA is filed under the name uncultured bacterium. RNAcentral describes it as "partial 16S ribosomal RNA". It matches the Rfam family "Bacterial small subunit ribosomal RNA", at positions 338 to 795 of the family's 1533-position model. The record is from RNAcentral.